Molecule: ribosomal RNA, 344 nt
Filed under: Bulinus sp. MW09.1
Lineage: Eukaryota; Metazoa; Mollusca; Gastropoda; Planorbidae
Description: partial large subunit ribosomal RNA
Source: RNAcentral
AGUUUAGUGAAAUUAUACUGAAUUAAUUCUGCCCAGUGUCAAAAAUUAGAUAAAUGGCCGCAGUACCCNGACUGUGCUAAGGUAGCAUAAUCAAUUGGCUUUUAAUUGAAGUCUGGAAUGAAAGGAUAAAUGGGAUUUUUCUGUCUUUAAGAUAUUAAUAUAAAUUUAUUUAAAAGGUGAAAAUACCUUUUUAAAGAAAAAAGACGAGAAGACCCUAAGAAUUUUUAAGAUUAAAAUUUUUCUUUUAAUUUUUUUGNUGGGGCGACAAUUUAGAAAAAAUUAACCUAAAUUAUUUAAUAAGGCGAAAUUUUUAAGUAAAAUAAAAUUACCUUAGGGAUAACAGC